AGAGUAGCUCAAUGGUAGAGCUCCAGCCUUCCAAGCUGGCUACGGGGGUCCGAUUCCCCUCUCU
RNAcentral lists this transfer RNA (64 nucleotides) under bovine gut metagenome. It matches the Rfam family "tRNA". From Rfam's summary of the family: Transfer RNA (tRNA) molecules are approximately 80 nucleotides in length. Their secondary structure includes four short double-helical elements and three loops (D, anti-codon, and T loops). The record is from RNAcentral.